RNAcentral lists this transfer RNA (64 nucleotides) under Cavia porcellus (domestic guinea pig). It matches the Rfam family "tRNA". From Rfam's summary of the family: Transfer RNA (tRNA) molecules are approximately 80 nucleotides in length. Their secondary structure includes four short double-helical elements and three loops (D, anti-codon, and T loops). Lineage: Eukaryota; Metazoa; Chordata; Mammalia; Rodentia; Caviidae. The record is from Rfam by way of RNAcentral.
GGGGGUUUAGCUCAGUGGCAAGAGCACCUGCCUAGCAGGUGUGAGAUUGUGAGUUCAAUCCCCA